UACAGAGGUCUCAAGCGUUGUUCGGAAUCACUGGGCGUAAAGGGCGCGUAGGCUGCACGGUAAGUCAGAGGUGAAAUCCCGGAGCUCAACUUCGGAAUUGCCUCCGAUACUGCCGUGCUUGAGGACUGGAGAGGAGAGUGGAAUUCACAGUGGAGCAGUGAAAUGCGUAGAUAUUGUGAGGAACACUAGUGGCGAAGGCGAAUCUCUGGACAGUUCCUGACGCUGAGGCACGAAGGCCAGGGGAGCAAACGGG
Molecule: ribosomal RNA, 253 nt
Filed under: uncultured bacterium
Lineage: Bacteria
Description: partial 16S ribosomal RNA
Rfam family: Bacterial small subunit ribosomal RNA
Source: RNAcentral